AAAGGUGUCUAUGGCAAAGGGGAUCCACCUCUAUCCAUUCCGAACAGAGAAGUUAAGCCCUUUCACGCCGAUGGUACUGCCGACAGGUGGGAGAGUAGGUAGAUGCCAAAU
Molecule: ribosomal RNA, 111 nt
Filed under: Culturomica sp.
Lineage: Bacteria; Pseudomonadati; Bacteroidota; Bacteroidia; Bacteroidales; Odoribacteraceae
Source: RNAcentral